GUGGGGAAUUUUGGACAAUGGGCGCAAGCCUGAUCCAGCAAUGUCGCGUGCAGGAAGAAGGCCUUCGGGUUGUAAACUGCUUUUGUCAGGGAAGAAAUCUUCUGGGCUAAUACCCCGGGAGGAUGACGGUACCUGAAGAAUAAGCACCGGCUAACUACGUGCCAGCAGCCGCGGUAAUACGUAGGGUGCGAGCGUUAAUCGGAAUUACUGGGCGUAAAGCGUGCGCAGGCGGCUUUGCAAGACAGAUGUGAAAUCCCCGGGCUCAACCUGGGAACUGCAUUUGUGACUGCAAGGCUAGAGUACGGCAGAGGGGGAUGGAAUUCCGCGUGUAGCAGUGAAAUGCGUAGAUAUGCGGAGGAACACCAAUGGCGAAGGCAAUCCCCUGGGCCUGUACUGACGCUCAUGCACGAAAGCGUGGGGAGCAAACAGGAUUAGAUACCCGUGUAGUCC
RNAcentral lists this ribosomal RNA (450 nucleotides) under uncultured bacterium. RNAcentral's name for it is "bacterial SSU rRNA". It matches the Rfam family "Bacterial small subunit ribosomal RNA", at positions 354 to 796 of the family's 1533-position model. The record is from RNAcentral.